AAGACCUCACGUUAUUGGAGUGGCCUACGGCUGAUUAGCUAGUUGGUGAGGUAAAGGCUCACCAAGGCGACGAUCAGUAGCUGGUCUGAGAGGAUGAUCAGCCACACUGGAACUGAGACACGGUCCAGACUCCUACGGGAGGCAGCAGUGGGGAAUUUUGGACAAUGGGGGCAACCCUGAUCCAGCCAUUCCGCGUGAGUGAAGAAGGCCUUCGGGUUGUAAAGCUCUUUCAGCAGGGAAGAAACGGUUACGGCUAAUACCUGUGACUAAUGACGGUACCUGCAGAAGAAGCACCGGCUAACUACGUGCCAGCAGCCGCGGUAAUACGUAGGGUGCGAGCGUUAAUCGGAAUUACUGGGCGUAAAGCGUGCGCAGGCGGUUUUGUAAGUCAGAUGUGAAAGCCCCGGGCUCAACCUGGGAAU
RNAcentral lists this ribosomal RNA (422 nucleotides) under uncultured bacterium. RNAcentral's name for it is "bacterial SSU rRNA". It matches the Rfam family "Bacterial small subunit ribosomal RNA", at positions 202 to 621 of the family's 1533-position model. The record is from RNAcentral.